This 547-nucleotide ribosomal RNA is filed under the name uncultured bacterium. RNAcentral's name for it is "bacterial SSU rRNA". It matches the Rfam family "Bacterial small subunit ribosomal RNA", at positions 775 to 1305 of the family's 1533-position model. The record is from RNAcentral.
AAAAUAGAUACCCGGGUAGUCCACGCCGUAAAGAUGAGUGCUAAGUGUUAGAGGGUUUCCGCCCUUUAGUGGCUGCAGCUAACGCAUUAAGCACUCCGCCUGGGGGAGUACGGCCGCAAGGGCUGAAACUCAAAGGAAUUGACGGGGGGCCCGCACAAGCGGGUGGAGCAUGUGGUUUAAUUCGAAGCAACGCGAAGAACCUUACCAGGUCUUGACAUCCUCUGCCAACCCUAGAGAUAGGGCGGUUCCCCGUUCGGGGGACAGAGUGACAGGUGGUGCAUGGUUGUCGUCAGCUCGUGUCGUGAGAUGUUGGGUUAAGUCCCGCAACGAGCGCAACCCUUGAUCUUAGUUGCCAGCAUUCAGUUGGGCACUCUAAGGUGACUGCCGGUGACAAACCGGAGGAAGGUGGGGAUGGACGUACAAAUCAUCAUGCCCCUUAUGACCUGGGCUACUACACGUCGCUACAAUGGAUGGGUACAAAGAGCUGGCGAACCCGGCGAGGGUAAGCGAAUCUCAUAAAGCCAUUCUCGAGUUCGGGAUUGUACGG